UACGAAUCGUCCAAACGUUGUUCGGAUUUACUGGGUUUAAGGGGCGCGUAGGCGGUGCGUUGAGUCGGCGGUGAAAUACUUCGGCUCAACCGGAGAAUUGCCGCUGAAACUGGCGCGCUCGAGGGAGGUAGAGGUGCGUGGAACUUCCGGUGGAGCGGUGAAAUGCGUUGAUAUCGGAAGGAACACCUGUGGCGAAAGCGAUGCACUGGACCUCAUCUGACGCUGAGGCGCGAAAGCCAGGGGAGCGAACGGG
RNAcentral lists this ribosomal RNA (253 nucleotides) under uncultured bacterium. RNAcentral's name for it is "partial 16S ribosomal RNA". It matches the Rfam family "Bacterial small subunit ribosomal RNA", at positions 524 to 776 of the family's 1533-position model. The record is from RNAcentral.